RNAcentral lists this ribosomal RNA (468 nucleotides) under uncultured bacterium. Its description in RNAcentral is "partial 16S ribosomal RNA". It matches the Rfam family "Bacterial small subunit ribosomal RNA", at positions 28 to 507 of the family's 1533-position model. The record is from RNAcentral.
GACGAACGCUGGCGGCGUGCUUAACACAUGCAAGUCGAACGGAAAGGCCCUGCUUUUGUUGGUUGCUCGAGUGGCGAACGGGUGAGUAACACGUGAGUAACCUUCCCUUUACUUUUGGAUAACUUCAGGAAACUGUGGCUCAUACCGGAUAUGAGCUCCUGCUGCAUGGUGUGGGUUGGAAAGUUUCGGCGGUUGGGGAUGGACUCGCGGCUUAUCAGCUUGUUGGUGGGGUAGUGGCUUACCAAGGCUUUGACGGGUAGCCGGCCUGAGCGGGUGACCGGCAACAUGGGGACUGAGAUACGGCCCAGACUCCUACGGGAGGAAGAAGUGGGGAAAAUUGAAAAAUGGGCGGAAGCCUGAUGCAGCAACGCGGCGGGCGGGAUGACGGCCUUCGGGUUGUAAACCGCUUUCGCCGGUGACGAAGCGUGAGUGACGGUAAUGGGUAAAGAAGCACCGGCUAACUACGUG